This 484-nucleotide ribosomal RNA is filed under the name uncultured bacterium. RNAcentral's name for it is "partial 16S ribosomal RNA". It matches the Rfam family "Bacterial small subunit ribosomal RNA", at positions 32 to 507 of the family's 1533-position model. The record is from RNAcentral.
AUUCAACGCUGGCGGCAGGCCUAACACAUGCAAGUCGAGCGGAUGAAGGGAGCUUGCUCCUGGAUUCAGCGGCGGACGGGUGAGUAAUGCCUAGGAAUCUGCCUGGUAGUGGGGGAUAACGUCCGGAAACGGGCGCUAAUACCGCAUACGUCCUGAGGGAGAAAGUGGGGGAUCUUCGGACCUCACGCUAUCAGAUAAGCCUAGGUCGGAUUAGCUAGUUGGUGGGGUAAAGGCCUACCAAGGCGACGAUCCGUAACUGGUCUGAGAGGAUGAUCAGUCACACUGGAACUGAGACACGGUCCAGACUCCUACGGGAGGCAGCAGUGAGGAAUAUUGGACAAUGGGCGAAAGCCUGAUCCAGCCAUGCCGCGUGUGUGAAGAAGGUCUUCGGAUUGUAAAGCACUUUAAGUUGGGAGGAAGGGUAGUAAGUUAAUACCUUGCUGUUUUGACGUUACCAACAGAAUAAGCACCGGCUAACUUCGUG